AGUGAACGCUGGCGGUAGGCCUAACACAUGCAAGUCGAACGGCAGCACAGUAAGAGCUUGCUCUUACGGGUGGCGAGUGGCGGACGGGUGAGGAAUACAUCGGAAUCUACUUUUUCGGGGGGAUUAAGGAAGGUAAGGUUAGCCAAUACCCGAAGCCCCCUACGGGUGGAAGGAGUGGGAACUUCUACGCUGUGCGGGUUGAAGUCGCGAGGUCGGAGUAGGUUGGUGGCGGGGUAAAGGCCCACCAAGGUGACGAUCCGUAGCUGGUCUGGGAGGAUGAUCGGCCGCACUGGAACUGAGACACGGUCCAGACUCCUACGGGAGGCAGCAGUGGGGAAUAUUGGACAGUGGGCGCAAGCCUGAUCCAGCCAUACCGCGUGGGUGAAGAAGGCCUUCGGGUUGUAAAGCCCUUUUGUUGGAAAAGAAAAGCAGCAGGUUAAUACCCCGCUGUUCUGACGGUACCCAAAGAAUAAGCACCGGCUAACUUCGUG
RNAcentral lists this ribosomal RNA (491 nucleotides) under uncultured bacterium. RNAcentral describes it as "partial 16S ribosomal RNA". It matches the Rfam family "Bacterial small subunit ribosomal RNA", at positions 29 to 507 of the family's 1533-position model. The record is from RNAcentral.